AUUGAACGCUGGCGGCAGGCCUAACACAUGCAAGUCGAACGGUAACAGGGAUCAGCUUGCUGAUUCGCUGACGAGUGGCGGACGGGUGAGUCAUGUCUGGGAAACUGCCUGAUGGAGGGGGAUAACUACUGGAAACGGUAGCUAAUACCGCAUAACGUCGCAAGACCAAAGAGGGGGACCUUCGGGCCUCUUGCCAUCGGAUGUGCCCAGAUGGGAUUAGCUAGUAGGUGGGGUAACGGCUCACCUAGGCGACGAUCCCUAGCUGGUCUGAGAGGAUGACCAGCCACACUGGAACUGAGACACGGUCCAGACUCCUACGGGAGGCAGCAGUGGGGAAUAUUGCACAAUGGGCGCAAGCCUGAUGCAGCCAUGCCGCGUGUAUGAAGAAGGCCUUCGGGUUGUAAAGUACUUUCAGCAGGGAGGAAGGGAGUAAAGUUAAUACCUUUGCUCAUUGACGUUACCCGCAGAAGAAGCACCGGCUAACUCCGUG
RNAcentral lists this ribosomal RNA (490 nucleotides) under uncultured bacterium. RNAcentral describes it as "partial 16S ribosomal RNA". It matches the Rfam family "Bacterial small subunit ribosomal RNA", at positions 30 to 507 of the family's 1533-position model. The record is from RNAcentral.